This 1596-nucleotide long non-coding RNA is filed under the name Pan troglodytes (chimpanzee). RNAcentral describes it as "long non-coding RNA NONPTRT005370". The record is from RNAcentral. Lineage: Eukaryota; Metazoa; Chordata; Mammalia; Primates; Hominidae.
GCACAGACAAACAAAAAGACAGCAGUAACUUCUGCAGACUUAAAUGUCCCUGUCUGACAGCUUUGAAAGAGCAGUGGUUCUCCCAGCACGCAGCUGGAGAUCUGAGAAUGGGCAGACUGCCUCCUCAAGUGGGUCCCUGACCCCCGAGCAGCCUACCUGGGAGGCAUCCGCCAGCAGGGGCACAUUGACACCUCACAAGGCAGGGUAUUCCAACAGACCUGCAGCUGAGGGUCCUCUCUGUUAGAAGGAAAACUAACAAACGGAAAGGACAUGCACACCAAAAACCCAUCUGUACAUCACCAUCAUCAAAGACCAAAAGUAGAUAAAACCACAAAGAUGGGGAAAAAACAGAACAGAAAAACUGGAAACUCUAAAACGCAGAGCGCCUCUCCUCCUCCAAAGGAACGCAGUUCCUCACCAGCAAUGGAACAAAGCUGGAUGGAGAAUGACUUUGACGAGCUGAGAGAAGAAGGCUUCAGAUGAUCAAAUUACUCUGAGCUACGGGAGGACAUUCAAACCAAAGGCAAAGAAGUUGAAAACUUUGAAAAAAAUUUAGAAGAAUGUAAGGGAAGCCCAUCAGACUAACAGCGGAUCUCUCGGCAGAAACCCUACAAGCCAGAAGAGAGUGGGGGCCAAUAUUCAACAUUCUUACAGAAAAGAUUUUUCAACCCAGAAUUUCAUAUCCAGCCAAACUAAGCUUCAUAAGUGAAGGAGAAAUAAAAUACUUUACAGACAAGCAAAUGCUGAGAGAUUUUGUCACCACCAGGCCUGCCCAAAAAGAGCUCCUGAAGGAAGCGCUAAACAUGGAAAGGAACAACCGGUACCAGCUGCUGCAAAAUCAUGCCAAAAUGUAAAAACCAUCGAGACUAGGAAGAAACUGCAUCAACUAACGAGCAAAAUAACCAGCUAACAUCAUAAUGACAGGAUCAAAUUCACACAUAACAAUAUUAACUUUAAAUGUAAAUGGACUAAAUGCUCCCAUUAAAAGACACAGACUGGCAAAUUGGAUAAAGAGUCAAGACCCAUCAGUGUGCUGUAUUCAGGAAACCCAUCUCACAUGCAGAGACACACAUAGGCUCAAAAUAAAAGGAUGGAGGAAGAUCUACCAAGCAAAUGGAAAACAAAAAAAGGCAGGGGUUGCAAUCCUAGUCUCUGAUAAAACAGACUUUAAGCCAACAAAGAUCAAAAGACACAAAGAAGGCCAUUACAUAAUGGUAAAGGGAUCAAUUCAACAAGAGGAGCUAACUAUCCUAAAUAUAUAUGCACCCAAUACAGGAGCACCCAGAUUCAUAAAGCAAGUCCUGAGUGACCUACAAAGAGACUUAGACUCCCACACAUUAAUAAUGGGAGACUUUAACACCCCUCUGUCAACAUUAGACAGAUCAACGAGACAGAAAGUUAACAAGGAUACCCAGGAAUUGAACUCAGCUCUGCACCAAGCGGACCUAAUAGACAUCUACAGAACUCUCCACCCCAAAUCAACAGAAUAUACAUUUUUUUCAGCGCCACACCACACCUAUUCCAAAAUUGACCACAUACUUGGAAGUAAAGCUCUCCUCAGCAAAUGUAAAAGAACAGAAAUUAUAACAAACUAUC